CCUACGGGGGGCUGCAGUGGGGAAUAUUGGACAAUGGGGGCAACCCUGAUCCAGCCAUGCCGCGUGUGUGAAGAAGGCCCUCGGGUUGUAAAGCACUUUCAGUGAGGAAGAACGCCUGGUGGUUAAUACCCAUCAGGAAAGACAUCACUCACAGAAGAAGCACCGGCUAACUCCGUGCCAGCAGCCGCGGUAAUACGGAGGGUGCGAGCGUUAAUCGGAAUUACUGGGCGUAAAGCGCGCGUAGGUGGCUUGAUAAGCCGGUUGUGAAAGCCCCGGGCUCAACCUGGGAACGGCAUCCGGAACUGUCAAGCUAGAGUGCAGGAGAGGAAGGUAGAAUUCCCGGUGUAGCGGUGAAAUGCGUAGAGAUCGGGAGGAACACCAGUGGCGAAGGCGGCCUUCUGGACUGACACUGACACUGAGGUGCGAAAGCGUGGGUAGCAAACAGGAUUAGAUACCCUAGUAGUC
RNAcentral lists this ribosomal RNA (465 nucleotides) under Vreelandella stevensii. RNAcentral describes it as "partial 16S ribosomal RNA". It matches the Rfam family "Bacterial small subunit ribosomal RNA", at positions 338 to 795 of the family's 1533-position model. The record is from RNAcentral. Lineage: Bacteria; Pseudomonadati; Pseudomonadota; Gammaproteobacteria; Oceanospirillales; Halomonadaceae.